This 460-nucleotide ribosomal RNA is filed under the name uncultured bacterium. Its description in RNAcentral is "partial 16S ribosomal RNA". It matches the Rfam family "Bacterial small subunit ribosomal RNA", at positions 338 to 795 of the family's 1533-position model. The record is from RNAcentral.
CCUACGAGAGGCAGCAGUGAGGAAUAUUGGUCAAUGGACGCAAGCCUGAACCAGCCAAGUAGCGUGCAGGAUGACGGCCCUACGAGUUGUAAACUGCUUUUAUACAAGGAUAAACGGAGACACGUGUACCUGUCUGUAAGUACCGUAUGCAUAAGGAACGGCUAACUCCGUGCCAGCAGCCGCGGGAAUACGGAGGAUGCAAUCGUUACCCGGAUUUAUUGGGUUUAAAGGGUGCGUAGUUGGUUGGUUAAGUUAGUGGUGAAAGCCUGCGGCUCAACUGCAGAAUUGCAUUUGAUACUGGCAGUCUGGAGUACAGGUGCCGUAGGCGGAAUGCGUGGUGUAGCGGUGAAAUGCUUAGAGAUCAUGCAGAACACCGGUUGCGAAGGCAGCUUACCAAGCUGCUUCUGACGUUGAGGCUCGAAAGCGUGGGUAGCAAACAGGAUUAGAUACCCGAGUAGUC